RNAcentral lists this ribosomal RNA (421 nucleotides) under Acanthamoeba sp. RNAcentral describes it as "SSU rRNA". It matches the Rfam family "Eukaryotic small subunit ribosomal RNA", at positions 788 to 1107 of the family's 1831-position model. The record is from RNAcentral. Lineage: Eukaryota; Discosea; Longamoebia; Acanthamoebidae.
AGAUCCAAUUUUCUGCCACCGAAUACAUUAGCAUGGGAUAAUGGAAUAGGACCCUGUCCUCCUAUUUUCAGUUGGUUUUGGCAGCGCGAGGACUAGGGUAAUGAUUAAUAGGGAUAGUUGGGGGCAUUAAUAUUUUAAUGCAUUKGUGAAAUUCUUGGAUUUAUGAAAGAUUAACUUCUGCGAAAKCWUYUGCCAAGGAUGUUUUCAUUAAUCAAGAACGAAAGUUAGGGGAUCGAAGACRAUCAGAUACCGUCGUAGUCUUAACCAUAAACGAUGCCGACCAGCGAUUAGGAGACGUUGAAUACAAAACACCACCAUCGGUGCGGUCGUCCUUGGCGCGUUGGUCUUCAAAAGCCAGCGCGCGGGGGCGGCUUASCCCGGUGGCACCGGUGAAWUGACUCCCCCUAGCAGCUUGUGAGAA